RNAcentral lists this long non-coding RNA (968 nucleotides) under Acromyrmex echinatior (Panamanian leafcutter ant). RNAcentral's name for it is "uncharacterized LOC105142946, transcript variant X3". Lineage: Eukaryota; Metazoa; Arthropoda; Insecta; Hymenoptera; Formicidae. The record is from RNAcentral.
ACUUAUAUGCCUAUUCUCUAACUUCGUAACGACAAUAUCACCACUAUCUAGAGAUAUCAUUACAGAGAUUUAACGACAUGAUAACGAAAAAUGGUAUUCUGUAAUUUACUAUAAUGAUAGAUGUCGAUAAAAGUAUCGAUAAAGUAUCGAAUUUUAUCGUUAGCACAGGGAUACAAGACUCCUCGAUAAACAAUAGCGACAAUAUAACUAGACAUAUAGCGAUCAACUCCGGCUCCGGAUAGUGGUGGUACGGAAGUAAAAUCGCUGAAGAGUAUAGUAUUUAGAAUGAAAUAUAUUAUUUUUAUAAGAAAGAAUGCGGAAACUUGAAAGAAGAAUAGAGAGAAGAUUGUUGCGCGAUGCGCAAAAUCCAUUUGAACAACAAGAAUUUAUUGUACAGUUCAGACUAAACCAAGUUUUGAUCAUGCAAAUUGUUAAUAAUUUAAGACAAGAUUUAGAAAAACAACGUAUAACUGGUCUCUAGAAAUUCAAGUUUUGGUUGCAAUUGAUUUUUUUGCUCAUGGUUCUUAUCAAAGACCAGCUGGAAACCAAUGCGAAUUAGUAAGUCAGCCAACUACUAGCCGUUGCAUACGUAAAGUGCAUAAUAAAUACAUAAUUAAUAAAUAUACAUUUAUUAUGCCAAUGGAUAAAAUUUUCCAUGAUGCCACAUGAAAAGACUACUGCAAUAGAACAAAUUUGCACUAGCUGCACAGAUAUUUCCUCGAGCUGUUGGAGCUACUGAUUGUACGUACAUAAAUAUUCUUGCAUCACAUGUUCAUGAAGAAGCAUAUGUUAAUCACCAUCAUUCUUUGAAAGCAAUAGUUGAUUCAGAUAUGAAAAUAUUAAAUAUAAAUGCACGAUACCCAGAUAGAUGCAAGGAAUGAUGCAUAUAUCUGGAGUGCUUCUCCAAUUAAACGUGUCAUGGAACAUUGGUAUAACCAAGGGGAAAAUUUAUUUAAUUGGUAAGCAUU